AAAAAAAAGAAAAAGAAGAAGAAGAAGAAGAGGAGGGGAGAGAAACUGACAAGCGCGGGCGCAGGGAGGAGGAGAGUCCCGUGGCCUGGCCGCUCCGUGGGCCCCCCCGGGGGAGCGGGGUCGGGAGCGGGGUCGGCCCCUCCGCGCCCCGCCCGGGCCCAGCGCGGGGCGAGGCGCGCACACGCGGACGCAGCCCGGCCGCCGCCGCCGCCGCCGCCCCUCCUCCCGCCCCGGCCGGGUCUGCGCUCCCGGCGGGCGGGGUCCCGAGGCUCCCGGGCCGCCCGCCGGCCCCGCCGUCCGCAGACACGCGUGUGCGCGGGCCCUGCUUUCCACGCGCCAGCCCGCGGCGCCGCAGCGCGCACGUCCCCGAGGAGGGAGCCGAGCCCGGAGCGCAGGCCGCCGGGACCGGGGAGACGCUGCCAUUACCGUCGAGCGCGAUCCACGGCCGCUCUCCCCGCCCGGCCGACUCCCGGCGAGGCCGCGGGCCGCCGCAGCGCCGCUCCAGGAGGCGGAGACCGCUGGCGGGACACCCCACCCCUGGCGGGGACACGCGCGCGCGCGCACUCCCACACGGGGGCCGGGGCGGGCCGGGGGCGGGGUCGGGGGCGGGGCCGCGCGCGGCUGGGCCAAUCCCGGGCGCCGCCGCACUGCGCGACGGCGGGCGGCGCCAAUGAGCGGGAGGCGGCCGUGCCCCUCGCCCCGGCUCCCGGUCCACGUCUCCCACGGUACACAAUGGCCCCCGAGCGAGGCCGGCUCGCGGCACGUCCCCCACGGACAGGGCCUCGGGGGGUGGGACGCGGGGGCGGGGGGCGACCUGGGCGCCCUGGGCUCACCGGAGGCCGAAAGUGGAGAAGGGCAAGGAAAUGGGAGAAAGGAUGCCAGGCGCCGGGGAACUGGCCAAUGAGGAGUGGGCGGGUGGGCGUGAGCCUUGGGAACCCGAGCCGGGCCGCCGGGGGCCGGAGGGCGGGACUUCCUGCUCCGCGCACCUUCCCCGUCUUUUGUUUCAUAGCAACGGAGUAG
RNAcentral lists this long non-coding RNA (1020 nucleotides) under Canis lupus familiaris (dog). RNAcentral's name for it is "lncRNA (ENSCAFG00040018833.1)". Lineage: Eukaryota; Metazoa; Chordata; Mammalia; Carnivora; Canidae. The record is from RNAcentral.